Molecule: long non-coding RNA, 13494 nt
Filed under: Musa acuminata (dwarf banana)
Lineage: Eukaryota; Viridiplantae; Streptophyta; Magnoliopsida; Zingiberales; Musaceae
Description: long non-coding RNA (MACU_LNC001963)
Source: RNAcentral
UCUGAAAACACUAUACUUUCUUUCUAAUUCAAGAAAAACAAAAACACGAUCAAAUCAGUUUCAGUUGUAAAACAAGUGACAACUUUUACGUCCUCAUUUCUAAUGGAAUCAAAAUAAAUCUGAAUCGAUCAGUCGAUGAUCCUUUCAAUUGGGUACCAAACCUUCCCUCGGAACGAAAAUAGAUCAGCAGCCUGUUCUCAUGAUGAUUGUCCCACAGGUAGAUCAUAUUUUGGAAAACAACCAACAUAGACCCUCUUCGAUGCUUCCUGUAUUACGUCAACUUAUUCCGAAGAAGUGCACAAAAUAUUUGCAAUCUUUAUAAGCAUAAAAAGAGUACAUUAAUGAAAGAUGAAGAACAAAAUUGCUCUUCUUUUACUAGGUCAAUGCAUUAAAGAAUUAAUGAGAGAUGAGCAUACACUGUUCUCAUGACAAGAACUUUUGUUUUGAAGUACUCAAAACUAAUCACAAAAGAUAAGCUCAUAAUAUUUAUUAUACUAUGAUUGUUAAAAAUCUUCCAUUUAAAUAUUGCAUGAAUGUCUUCUCGAAGAUAUUAUAAUGUUAGGUUUUAACAAGAAGUUUCUUCAUGACAUAUGGAUUAUUUUGUGCCACAACAAAAUCCAACAUUGCAAGCACACAAGAUAAUUUUAAGAGAACGGGCAGCAAAUUGGCAAGCAUAAAUAAUACAGCAAGGGGGUUAUCUUCAGCAAUUGAAGCUAAAGAAAAAGCCACUGGAAAAUGUGACACAUGUAGAAAAUAAUGAAGUAUAAAUCAAUGCAAUGUAUCAAAUAGAAUGAGAUAAGAUAAUUUCGAUAUGAAGCUUUGCAACCUCGUAAAAUUUAGUCCAACACUAAAUGCAUAUAGUGCACCUGCAAUUACUUGACAGUUUUCUUUCUUUUGUUGGUGUUCAAGCUUUGGCCCCCUUCAAAUAAGUUUCAAUCAGAGGGUUCACUAGUCAAUAGGUGGUAGCUGUCAUACAUAUAACCCUCUCAUAUCUUGUUGUCUCUAUAAGACUUACAGAACAAGGACAAUGGUGUGAGGAGGCUAAGUAAAUUAGCUUUAAUAGACUUAAAUCAAGCACCAGCAGAGUAAACAUGUAGACAGAAUAAUUGACAUCUCAAGUUGGUUUCACAACUGAAACACACAAAACAGAUUGUUACAUGAAGAAAUUAAGGAAUGACAAUGAAGAUGUAACAUAUAGAUUGAUGGAAAGGCAGUUGCAGCAGGAAUCAGUGCAACAUAAAAGAGUUCAUCCUCUUUAGGUUAUUUCAGGAGUGAAAGGGUGUCAAACAUAGAUUGGUGUAAUUACAAAACAGCUUCGAGUCACAAAAUCGAAUGGCAAAUAAUCGUCAGAAAAUCAAGAAUUGGUGCAAGAACUUACAGACAGACACAAGUUUUUGUGGAAACUUGAUUGAUCUGACUGAAAACCUGAAGGCCUAGAAAGUGUACCUUGAUUUCCUGUAUAGUGGCUCUGCAUUCUUCGAGAAGUUAAAAGAACAAGAAGCUAAAAAACUUCAGAGAAGAUCGAUGGAUCCUGAUAACACAUGACAGAUCUGGGAUUUUAUAGAUGAAACACAGAGCAAUGUUUAAAUUGAUUUUUAAAAUUCUAGAGACAAUAUUCAAUCAAAUAGUCGCAUGAAUAUUGACAAAGGGAGGACAAAACAUAGGGAGUAUUUGUCCUCAUUGGAGCAAUGAUAGAUGUGAGCACAUUUGAAAGUACAUCAGGAGCAAAAGUGAUGGUAAUUUGUUUUAAACCAAUGCUUUUCCAAAGUAACUAACAAGCCAUUAAAAUUUGUGUGGCUUUGCUGUACUAAGCUAACAUUCCAUGUAAUCAAAUCAAAUAUUUAAGAUUGAGAUUUAAAUUUUAUUUUCCUUACUUGCCAUUAUAAUUUAGGAAAUCUUAAUCUAUUUCCUUAUUUGUUAAUAUAAAUUAGGAAAUAACUAUUAAGCAUUCCAAAUAGGAUGAGAUCAUAUUUGUUAGUAUAUUAAAUAGAAAUAAUCUAUAUUAAAUAAAUACGAAAAUAAAAAUAUAUUUCCUUUAAUGGAGGCUCACCUCCUCGUAUUUAAGGAGAGAGAUUUCUCUCCUUCGUUCCUCACCUAGUCGAGCCUGGCAGCGAGAGGAACAAGGAGUUAUAUCCUACUGACGAGAGGUAGGUUUCCCUGUCUUUCUUGAAUAUAAAAGUUUUAGUUUUUAUUUUGAUUCUGUUGAAAGUUUUGUAGUUUGAAAAAUAUAUAUCAAUCCUUUAAAUAUCAAAAUUUUUAUAUUAAAGUAAUCAGUUAAAGUUUUUAUAAUAUUCUUUGACCCAUGAUUAAGGUUUUUAUUGUAGAUUUAAAUAUUUAUAUGUUUUAUAUGAUAUUUCCUAGCAUUACAGUUCAUCUUUAAUCUUAUUUGGAUUAAAAUCUUGUUAGAUUAAAAUAUGUUAUCUAAAAUCUUGUUUGAUAUUCUUUGAUCUAAAAUUUAAAAUAUGUUAUUCUGAAUUAUUUAAAUUUUGACUAGAAUAUAUUGACAUUUUAUAGGUGUUGAAAGCAUGAUUUCUAUUUGAAUUUAGAAUAUUAUUUCCUUGUAUUAAAACUUAUCUCCCGGUCUAUCUUUUAAUGUGUUAUGAUUUCUAUUCAUAGGAUGUUAUUUCCUUAUAUUAAAACUUUUCUCCUUAUCUAUUUUUUAUGCGUUAUUAUGUUUUUAUUUAUAUUGUUAAUGGAUAUAUGUUGUAGCAUGAAAUUGGAUAUUAAUUGGAAUGAAAUUGCUCACAGCAGGCCCAACCCACAGGUCAGGCCUUGGCCCGUAGGCUAACCUAGCCCAACCAUCAUGGGCGAUCACAUGCGACGCACAUGACCAGUCUAUGGGUCAGGGUUGGGCCAGCUUUGUGUGAUGCAUGCUCAGUUAUGUAUAAUGCACAUGACCAGUAGAUGGGCUGGCCCAAUCUAGCCCAAUAUUAUUAUUGAAUUUGAACUCAAACAUUGAUUGAACUAAACUAGACUUGAUCAGUCUAGAUCAAUUCAGGGUGAUUCCGAAUGGUUUGACUUAUUCAAGUUAGUUUAACCUAAAUUGAAUCUAAUCUAGUCCAAAUUAUACUGGUCUAGGGUGGUUCUAGACUAGUUAUAUAAGGAUUAGAGAUCGGUUCAGUUAGGUUCUAGUUAAUUGAGUUCAAUUGAAUCGAUUGAACUAGAGUUCAAGCCAAUUGAGGGCUAAUUUGUAUUAUUUGAUAUUGAUGAUAUUUGAAAGAGGUGUUUCAAAUGUAUUAUUUCAUCCCAAUAUGGACAUGAUCGGUGUGAGAUUCUAUUAUUUCCCUGCCGAGAGCAGGUAGGGCGAUUCCCUUUGGGGAUUAGCGGGCCGUCAGACGUGGCGACUGGACGGUUCCUUCAUCCGCUAUUGGGAGGAACGUGUCCCCACUUUGGCGGGUGUGGGACACCACUCCAUCCGCUGUUGGGAGUGCGAUAUGAGUUUGCCUCCAUCCGCUGUUGGGAGAACACAAACUCAUCCCGUAGGAUAAAGCAUCUUCAUCCGCUGUUGGGGGAGUGCUCCUUCGGGUAUUUGAUAUACGCCAAUGGGAUGAGUGAUUGAAUUUUGAUCAUGUAUACAUUUUGAGUUGACUUUUGGGGUUCCUACUCAGUGUUGCUGAAUUUUCUUUGUUUUUGAUUUUCAGAGCAGCCUCCCUCUAGUACUAAAUCGGAUUCCAGUGGAGAGCGGACCUUCCUCUACCGCUAAGUAGAGCCACUUGGAUGAUUCUUGAAGUUAACAUCACUAUGUUUACUUUUCUAUUUAUGAUUCGAUGAAUAAAUGGAUUGUAAUAAACGAAUUGUAAUAAAUGUUUAUGAAUGAUGAAUAAAGUGAUGUUUAUCUAUUUGGCCUAAAUGUGUGAAAAGAUAUAUAAAAUAAAAAAAAAUCCAGGAUGUGACAUCUUUUUAUGGUAUCAGAGCAUGGUCUAGGGCCUGUAGGUGUAUUAGGUCCCUUGAUUAACUCUAACCGAUGAUUGUCUUUAACCUAUUAUAGGAGUAAUAGAGCCAAUUCUAGAGAUUAGUGGUCCUGUCACUCGUGGUGCUCAUGAUCACAAUGCUACUGGAGUACGCACUAGGAGAGGUGUUCAAACAAAUAAUAACUUGGAAGCUCCACGUAUCGUAGAGCAAACCCAGUCCUCCCGUACACCUGUCACUAAUUAUGGGCUAGCUUCUCCGACUUCGCAGAAUGCCCCUCAUGCCCCAGCACCCGUCAAUGCUCAAGAUGGCGUACACGGAGUCCUUAAUUCUAUUAUAGGAUACUUUGAGCGUCAAGAAGAACGAGAUGAAAUUCCACGGGAUAGGAAUAAUACCUUAGAUCACUUUAAAAUAUUAGGACCACUAGUUUUUUAGGGCAAGCCAGACCCAAUCUUUGCUGAAUGUUGGAUUCGUCAAGUGGAAAAGACAUUCGAAGCUAUCGAAUGUCGGGAAAAUCAGAAAGUGCCUUUCGCUUCUUUUAUUUUGGAAGGGAAGGCAGACACUUGGUGGACCUCAAAAAGGAGAAUGUUAGAGGCUGGAGGUAAUGUGGUAACUUGGGAGCAGUUUAAAGAUGCAUUUUAUGAGCAGUUCUUUCCUGAUUCAGUUCGCUUUGAGAAACAACAAGAGUUCCUUAACAUCCACCAAGGAAAUAGAACUGUAAUUGAAUAUGAUCAUCAUUUCACUGAGUUGGCUCAGUUCUCUCCACAUAUUGCUUUUAAUGAAAGUCAAAAAGCUUGUCAUUUUGAGAGGGGACUUCGAUUAUCAAUUAGAAAGUCUGUUGCAGUACUGAUUUUACCAACAUAUGCUGAAGUGUUAAAUCGAGCUUUGGUGGUAGAGAAAUUGGAUAAUGAAUUACAACAAGCAAAGGAUCGAAAGCGACCUUUUAGUGCUGCACCAUUUACGUAUGGGGGAUCACAUUCUAGACCCUCAAAGAAAGGAAAAGGCAAACAGCUAGGGCAUCAACAAGCAGGAGCUCCUAGCAAUCAAGUUGUUAUAAGAUGUUAUUUCUGCGGGAAGACANNNNNNNNNNNNNNNNNNNNNNNNNNNNNNNNNNNNNNNNNNNNNNNNNNNNNNNNNNNNNNNNNNNNNNNNNNNNNNNNNNNNNNNNNNNNNNNNACAACAAGCAAAGGAUCGAAAGCGACCUUUUAGUGCUGCACCAUUUACGUAUGGGGGAUCACAUUCUAGACCCUCAAAGAAAGGAAAAGGCAAACAGCUAGGGCAUCAACAAGCAGGAGCUCCUAGCAAUCAAGUUGUUAUAAGAUGUUAUUUCUGCGGGAAGACAGAUCAUGUUUCCACCUCAUGCCCCAUGGGACAACGCGUAUGUUUUUAUUGUCAACAACCGGGGCACAUGUCGAAGGAUUGCCCACGGAAGCAACAUCAACAUCGAGCUCCACCCCAAACAGCUGGACAACAACAGCUAUGACCCAGAGACGAAGGACAAGCAAGAGUCUACGCACUGACUCAUCAAGAUGCUGAAGCCUCGGGAUCUAUUAUUAAAGGUAUCAUCACACUUUGUGGUAUGCCAACAUCUGUGCUUAUUGAUUCUGAUUCUACGCAUUCUUUUAUAUCACCUUAUUUUGCUAUGAAAUUGCAUAAGAAUCGUGAGACAAUGAAUAAUGCAUUAAUGGUAGUAACACUAGUUGGAAACUCUUUAAUAGUUGAUCAAAUAUAUAGAAACUGUGUUAUUACUAUUGAAAGUCACGAUUUGCUAGUAGAUCUUAUUCUACUAGAAUUUCAAGAUUUCGACGCUAUCUUGGGUAUGGACUGGCUUUCAGCAUACCAUGCAAGUCUCGAUUGUUUUCGGAAGAUUAUUACUUUCUCACCUCUAGAUCAACCACCAUUCAAGUUCAUUGGGAUUCAAGAAAAGUUUCCUUCUAUUAUUUCAGCCUUGAGUGCUACCCAACUAUUACUGAAGGGAUGUCAGGGAUACUUGGCCUUCAUUUCUGGAGAAGAAUCUAAGAAGCUAGUAUUAAAGGACAUCCCUAUGGUACGGGAUUUUCCAAAUGUUUUUCCUGAAGAUCUACUUACACUGCCACCAAAUAGACAGAUUGAAUUUACAAUUGAUCUUCUACCUGGUACUGCACCUAUUUCUAAACCUCCGUAUAGAAUGGCACCAAUUGAGUUGGAGGAGUUAAAGAAACAGAUCCAAGAGCUUUUGGACAAGGGUUUUAUUCGACCCAGUGUAUCACCUUGGGGUGCCCCUGUCCUAUUUAUGAAGAAGAAAGAUAGAACUAUGCGACUAUGCAUCGAUUAUAGACAACUCAACCAAGUGAUCAUAAAGAAUAAAUAUCCUCUUCCCCGAAUAGAUGACAUGUUUGAUCAACUUUAAGGUACUCAGGUAUACUCAAAGAUUGAUUUGAAAUCCGGGUAUCAUCAACUGAAGAUAAGGGAAGGAGACAUACAAAAAACUGCCUUUAGAACAAGAUAUGGUCAUUAUGAAUUCUUAGUAAUGCCUUUUGGACUCACAAAUGCACCGGUUGCCUUCAUGGAUCUCAUGAAUAGGGUGUUUCACCCUUAUCUUGAUAAAUUUGUAAUUGUGUUCAUUGAUGAUAUCUUGAUCUACUCUAAAAGCAUAGCAGAGCAUAAACACCAUCUUAAGACAGUUCUGGAAGUCCUAAGGCAAGAGAAACUAUAUGCCAAGUUAAGCAAGUGCAACUUCUGGCUCAAUGAAAUUAUGUUUGUCGGUCAUGUAAUUUCGAGCGCUGGUAUAUCUGUUGACCCUCACAAGAUUGAAGCGGUGAUAAAAUGGAAGCAGCCUUCUAAUGUUUUGAAGAUUAGAAGCUUCUUGGGUUUGGAUGGAUACUAUAAAAGAUUCGUAGAAGGCUUUUCAAAAAUAGCAGCACCAUUGACUAAGUUGACACAAAAGAAUAUAAAAUUCAUGUGGGAUGAUAAAUGUCAACAAAGUUUUCAAGAAUUGAAGAAGAAUUGAAGAAGAAUUGAAGAAGAAUUGAAGAAGAAAUUAACCAGUGCUCCUAUAUUGGUGAUUCCUUCAAGGGGGAGAAGGUUUUGUAGUGUAUAGUGAUGCCUCACUACAAGAGAUUGGUUGCGUUCUAAUGCAAAACGAGAGGGUAGUAGCUUAUGCAUCGAGGCAAUUAAAGCCUCAUGAAAAGAACUAUCCUACUCAUAACUUAGAGCUAGCAGCUAUCAUUUUUACACUGAAAAUUUGGAGACAUUAUCUCUAUGGACAGACUUUCGAAAUCUUCACAGAUCAUAAGAGUCUUAAAUAUAUUUUCACACAAAAAGAUUUAAAUAUGAAACAAAGAAGGUGGUUGGACUUUCUAAAGGAUUAUUGUCACGUCCUAGAUUUUUUUUUAUUUUAUAUAACUUUCCACACAUUUAGGCCAAAUAGAUAAACAUCACUUUAUUCAUCAUUCAUAAACAUUUAUUACAAUUCAUUUAUUACAAUCCAUUUAUUCAUCGAAUCAUAAAUAGAAAAGUAAACAUAGUGAUGUUAACUUCAAGAAUCAUCCAAGUGGCUCUACCUAGCGGUAGAGGAAUGUCCGCUCUCCACUGGAAUCCGAUUUAGUACUAGAGGGAGGCUGCUCUGAAAAUCAAAAACAAAGAAAAUUCAACAACGCUGAGUAGGAACCCCAAAAGUCAACUCAAAAUGUAUACAUGAUCAAAAUUCAAUCACUCAUCCCAUUGGCGUAUAUCAAAUACCUGAAGGAGCACUCCCCCAACAGCGAAUGGAGAGGCUUUAUCCUACGGGAUGAGUUUGUGUUCUCCCAACAGCGGAUGAAGGCAAACUCAUAUCGCACUCCCAACAGCGAAUGGAGUGGUGUCCCACACCCGUCAAAGUGGGGACACGUUCCUCCCAACAGCGGAUGGUGGAACCGUCCAGCCGCCACGCCUGACGGCCCGCUAAUCCCCAAAGGGAAUCGCCCUACCUGCUCUCGGCAGGGAAAUAAUAUAAUCUCACACCGAUCAUGUCCAUAUUGGGAUGAAAUAAUACAUUUGAAACAUCUCUUUCAAAUAUCAUCAAUAUCAAAUAAUACAAAUUAGCCCUCAAUUGACUUGAACUCUAAUUCAAUCGAUUCAAUUGAACUCAAUUAACUAGAACCUAACUGAACCGAUCUCUAAUCCUUAUAUAACUGGUCUAGAACCACCCUAGACCAGUAUAAUUUGGACUAGAUUAGAUUCAAUUUAGGUUAAACUAACUUGAAUAAGUCAAUCCAUUCGGAAUCACCAUGAAUUGAUCUAGACUGAUCAAGCCUAGUUUAGUUCAAUCAAUGUUUGAGUUCAAAUUCAAUAAUAAUAUUGGGCUAGAUUGGGCCAGCCCAUCUACUGGUCAUGUGCAUUAUACAUAACUGAGCAUGCAUCACACAAAACUGGCCCAGCCCUGACCCAUGGACUGGUCAUGUGCGUCACAUGUGAUCGCCCAUGAUGGUUGGGCUGGGUUAGCCUACGGGCCAAGGCCUGACCCGUGGGUUGGGCCUAGCCUGUGAGCAAUUUCAUUCCAAUUAAUAUUCAAUUUCAUGCUACAACAUAUAUCCAUUAACAAUAUAAAUAAAAACAUAAUAACGCAUAAAAAAUAGAUAAGGAGAAAAGUUUUAAUACAAGAAAAUAACAUCCUAUGAAUAGAAAUCAUAACACAUUAAAAGAUAGACUGGGAGAUAAGUUUUAAUAUAAGGAAAGUCUUCUAAAUUCAAAUAGAAUUCAUGCUUUCAACACAUAUAAAAUGUCAACAUAUUCUAGUCAAAAUUUAAAUCAUUCAGAAUAACAUAUUUUAAAUUUUAAAUCAAAGAAUAUCAAACAAGAUUUUAGAUAACAUAUUUUAAUCUAACAAGAUUUUAAUCCAAAUAAGAUUAAAGAUGAACUGUAAUGCUAGGAAGUAUCAUAUAAAACAUAUAAAUAUUUAAAUCUACAAUAAAAACCUUAAUCAUAGGUCAAAGAAUAUUAUAAAAACUUUAACUGAUUACUUUAAUAUAAAAAUUUUGAUAUUUAAAGGAUUGAUACAUAUUUUUUAAACUUCAAAACUUUCAACAGAAUCAAAAUAAAAACUAAAACUUUUAUAUUCAAGAAAGACAAGGAAACCUACCUCUCGUCAGUAGGAUAUAACUCCUCGUUCCUCCCGUUGUCAGGCUCGACUAGGUGAGGAACGAAGGAGAGAAAUCCCUCCCCUUAAAUAGGAAGAGGUGAGCCUCCAUUAAAGGAAAUAUAUUUUUAUUUUUAUAUUUAUUUAAUAUAGAUUAUUUCUAUUUAAUAUACUAACAAAUAUGAUCUCAUCCUAUUUGGAAUGCUUAAUAGUUAUUUCUUAAUUUAUAUUAACAAAUAAGGAAAUAUAUUAAGAUUUUCUAAAUUAUAAUGACAAGUAAGGAAAACAAAAUUUAAAUCUCAAUCUUAAAUAUUUGAUUUGAUUACAUUUCUCCCCUCCUAUAGGAAAUUUGGUCCCCAAAUUUAACUCACCUUAAUAGAAUAGAUGAGGAUACUGCUCUCGCAUAUCUUCUUCUCUUUCCCACGUUGCCUCUCGGUCCGAAUGGUGUUGCCAACAAAUCUUUACCAAAGGUAUAAUUUUGUUCCUUAGAACAUGUUCUUUCCUUUCCAAGAUCUGGGUUGGUUGUUCUCCAAAAGUAACAUCAUCUCUUAGUUGUAGAGGUUGAUAAGAUAUGACAUGUGAUGGAUCCCUGAUAUAUCUUCGAAGCAUAGACACAUGAAAUACAUCAUGGAUGCCAGCCAAAGCCGGGGCCAAUACCAAUCUAUAUGCUACAGGCCCAACCUUUUGUAAAAUCUCAAAUGGGCCAAUAAAUCUUGGGGCUAACUUUCCCCUUUGACCAAACCUCAUAACUUCCUUGGUUGGCGACACCUUUAAGAAGACGUGCUCACCAACUUCGAACUCUAGAUCUCUUCGCCUUCGAUCUGCAUAACUUUUUUGAUGACUUUGAGUUGUUAAUAAUCUUUGGCGUAUAAUUCAAAUAUUAUCAGCAUCUUUUUGAAUUAAUUGAGGCCCCAAUAGCUUCCGUUCUCCCACCUCAUCCCAAUAUACAGGUGAUCUGCACUUUCUUCCAUAAAGAGCUUCAAAUGGAGUCAUCUGUAUACUAGAGUGGUAACUAUUAUUAUAAGAAAACUCAAUUAGAUGCAAGUGCAUAUCCCAACUCCCACCAAAGUCUAAAGCACAUACUCUUAAGAGAUCUUCAAGAGUUUGUAUUGUCCUUUCAGAUUGACCAUCAGUUUGGGGGUGAAAGGCUGUACUAAACUUUAACUGCGUGCCCAAAGAUUUUUGUAGACUUCCCCAAAAUUUAGAGAUGAAUCUUGGAUCUCUAUUUGAGAUAAUGCUAACUAGCACCCCAUGAUAUCGAAUAAUUUCCUUAAUAUAUAAGCUUGCUAGUUUAUCCAAUGAAUACUUCUUGUUAAUAGGGAGGAAGUGAGCAGAUUUAGUAAGUCUGUCUACUAUUACUCAAAUUCCGUCAUAUCCUUUCACAGUCUUGGGUAAUCCUGUCACAAAAUCCAUAGUGACUUGCUCCCACUUCUAUUCAGGAAUCGAAAUCCUUUGCAACUUUCCCGCAGGUACUCGAUGUUCUAUCUUCACCUGUUGACAUAUCAGACAUUUAGAAACAAACUUUGCUAUAUCUCUCUUCAUACCACGCCACCAAUAGUUUUGACGUAAAUCUCGAUACAUCUUAGUAGUCCCGGGAUGGAUGUUAAAUUUUGAUCUAUGUGCCUCCUCCAAUAAUUGCAUCUUUACUGGAUGGCUUUCGGGAAUACAAAGUUGAUCAUGGAAUGUAAUAGAACCAUCUUCGGCUUGGAGGAAUUCAGGUCUAGAUCCUUGAGCUAUUUCCUUAACUAUCAUUUGAAGAUAUGUAUCUUCCUUCUGACCUUCUUUAACCUUUUCCACCAAAUAUGAUUGUGUCAUCAAACACACAAGAAAACAUUUAUUUGUCUCUGAUAAAAGUUUAAGUUUUAAGUCUGCUAACUCCGUCAUCAUAGAAUUCCUUUGAAUAUUCAUAUAGGCUACAAGACUAUAGGUAUUUCUGCUUAAGGCAUCAGCAACUACAUUAGCUUUCCCAGGAUGGUAGUUGAUAUUAAAAUCAUAAUUGUAACAUCCCUGAUUAGUCCCACAUCGAAAGUGGGCAAGAUUAAGAUUGGCUUAUAAGGGUGUGAUAAGUGUACUACUAUCAACUUCAGCUUAAGCAUUUUAGUCAAUGGUUUAGACCAAACAAAGUUGAUAGGCUAGUUUGCCCUUCAGGCUCGGGUCAUGACAUUUGGUAUCAGAGCCGACCUAAUAUUUGGGCAUGGUGAGGGGGCUCGAGUAGGAAAGGGUUACCCGUAGACGGAGUCAGAGGACUCGUCACGGCGUGGAGCCACCAUUGGGCUACGCCUCACGUGCACUAUGCUAGGGUUUGAUCUGGGUUAUGUUGGGUCUUGACGAGGACGUCAAGCCUUUGAGUGGGGGUGAUUGUAACAUCCCUGAUUAGUCCCACAUCGAAAGUGGGCAAGAUUAAGAUUGGCUUAUAAAGAUCUGAUGAAUGUACUACUAUCAACUUCAGCAUAAGCAUUUUGGUCAGUGGUUUAGACCAAACGAAGUUGAUAGGCUAGUUUGCCCAUCAGGCUCGGGUCAUGACAUUCCAGAUAGAUCAAUUGAGGCCCCUAUCAUUCUCUCAACAAAAUAAAAAAUGGGGCUCCGAAGAAAAGAUCAACUCCGUUGAUCAUGACCUACAAUAUCUAAUUAACCUAAUUAUCACUUUAAAAAAUAAAAAAUAAAUUUGAAGACCUUUUACAUAACAAAAUGGAUUCCGAAAUUACACUACUUUUACAUGCUAGACUUACGAUAGAUGACCUUCCGUUUAGGAAAAUCUCAUAAGUCUAAAUAAUCCCAUCUAUAAACACCUCUAAAACUAACAAAAUAUGAAUCCUAAUAGCUAAACACCUUUCCUAAGCCAUACUAACAUAUAAUGAAACUCUAAACACAUAUAAUACUAGAACAGGACUCUGAACACAAUAUCUGAACCACAAUAACUAAUGAUAGACACUUGAAAAGCAAAUUAUAAAAAAUAAAACAAAACGUAACAGGACCUAGAUACAACUUAACCAAACCUAAAAGGACUCUAUUUGACUCACCGAACACCCAACUGCAACUUGCCCUGUAUCAUAGCUAAUCUGAAAUGGCAAAUUAAGAUGAUAUAGUAUGUCAUUUUCAUCUACUCAGAGCCCAUCUUAAAGUAGGACAUGUCACCUAUGCAAGCCCAAAAGGAAUGGCUUGGAGAACAUGUAAAUACAAAACUUAGGCAGCCAGUCAUAACUUUUGUUCCAAAAUCACAACAAUUCAUUUUUAAAUGGACUUAUACACAUUGAACUAUCUACCAUUGUGAUCAAAUAAAAAUAGUAUGUGCAUUUUUAUUAUAAUUUUACGAUAGUCAUUGGCUUUUGAGUCAUAAUAAAUUUAUCUCUAAGUCUUCAUUGCUCGCAUAAGCCUAACUGGUAUAAUCAACUGAGCGUAACAAUAUUCUCAAUUCAAGGGUUAGGACCGUUCAAAUUCAUUUGGUUCUAGUACCCAUAUAGCAUUUCCAUCAAAUCAACAGAGGUCUACACAUAUAAAAGUAGUUCUUCCACAAGAACCAGAGGUGUCUAAUUUCCUCUUUAAAUUCCAAGUCUAAACUACUACCAGGUCCUAAUGUAGCAAAGUGUAAUUCUAGGCUAAUCAACAAACAUAUACCUAAUAUUUUAUGAGGCCAAAUUAGUCUAACAUUGAGAGUGGUAAGGUGAUAAGGUCAAAUGGGCUCAUUGCUACUAAAACAGACUUCCACAUGAUUUAAUACUCGUUAUAUCCUAAUUGCUAAGUCAAUGGGCCUUUUAAGAUUACUUGUAACAAUUAGUAGCAAAAUAUAAGUAACACAGAUGUGGGGGUGAGUGAAACUGUAUAAGAAACGAUUACCUAUGGACGAUGAAGAUGCACACUAUGGCAUGAAGCCACCACUGUGCCAUGACCCAGCCCUUUGAAUGAAAGAAAUUGUAACAUCCUGUUAAAUUCCACAUCGGCAGCAGGCAGCAGGAAGGUAUUUAUGAAGACGUACAAGACCUCAUCGGCUUAUUACUUAUAACAUGAUUUAAGCAAUCAGAAUCAUGUGGUUCAAGAAUACUUACAUCCUAGUUACUGAUCCUGUGGGUCUAUUGGCCAGGUCAUAACAUUAUGCCAUUACUAUGACUAUAUGGCGAGCCUCUGUACAGACAAGUAGAUAUUAGUCAAACCUGCAAGACAACAAAUAAAUUACAAAGCCUAAGAAGCACAGAAACGGACACGGACACAACUUGACAUGAACAUGGCAACACACCAAUUUUAAAAAAAAUAGGACAAAAAUUAGGACACGGACAUGACAAGGAUGUGUAUUUUAUAGAGUACCGAAGAGACUCCGAUGACAAUUGAUAUAUGUUUCCUCAUGACAAUCUUUAGAUUUCUUUCCUUGCAUUGUUGGCAAUCCGUCUCCACAUAGAAUCCAAAGCAGAUGGCCCUCAUGUGAGGGCCGCAAGCACAGCACCGCAUACGAGGGCCACGUGCUGAAACACACAAGAGCGACAUGGGAGCGGUGUCGU